This 434-nucleotide ribosomal RNA is filed under the name uncultured bacterium. RNAcentral describes it as "partial 16S ribosomal RNA". It matches the Rfam family "Bacterial small subunit ribosomal RNA", at positions 29 to 507 of the family's 1533-position model. The record is from RNAcentral.
GCGAACGCUGGCGGCAGGCUUAACACCUGCAAGUCGAGCGGGCACCUUCGGGUGUCAGCGGCAGACGGGUGAGUAACACGUGGGAACGUACCCUUCGGUUCGGAAUAACGCUGGGAAACUAGCGCUAAUACCGGAUACGCCCUUAUGGGGAAAGGUUUACUGCCGAAGGAUCGGCCCGCGUCUGAUUAGCUAGUUGGUGGGGUAACGGCCUACCAAGGCGACGAUCAGUAGCUGGUCUGAGAGGAUGAUCAGCCACACUGGGACUGAGACACGGCCCAGACUCCUACGGGAGGCAGCAGUGGGGAAUAUUGGACAAUGGGCGCAAGCCUGAUCCAGCCAUGCCGCGUGAGUGAUGAAGGCCUUAGGGUUGUAAAGCUCUUUUGUCCGGGACGAUAAUGACGGUACCGGAAGAAUAAGCCCCGGCUAACUUCGUG